This 657-nucleotide ribosomal RNA is filed under the name uncultured Pseudomonadota bacterium. RNAcentral's name for it is "bacterial SSU rRNA". It matches the Rfam family "Bacterial small subunit ribosomal RNA", at positions 131 to 776 of the family's 1533-position model. The record is from RNAcentral. Lineage: Bacteria; Pseudomonadati; Pseudomonadota.
UGAUGGAGGGGGAUAACUACUGGAAACGGUAGCUAAUACCGCAUAACGUCGCAAGACCAAAGAGGGGGACCAUUCGGGCCUCUUGCCAUCAGAUGUGCCCAGAUGGGAUUAUCUAUGUAGGUGGGGUAACGGCUCACAUAGGCGACGAUCCCUAUCCUGGUCUGAGAGGAUGACCAGCCACACUGGAACUGAGACACGCUCCAGAUUCUAACGGGAGCCAGGCAGUGGGGAAUAUUGCACAAUGGGCGCAAGCCUGAUGCAGCCCAUGCCUGUGUGUAUGAAGAAGGCUUUCGGGUUGUAAACUACUUUCAGCGGGGAGGAAGGGAGUAAAGUUAAUAGCAUUUGCUCAUUGACGUUACCCGCAGAAGAAGCACCGGCUAACUCCGUGCCAGCAGCCGCGGUAAUACGGAGGGUGCAAGCGUUAAUCGGAAUUACUGGGCGUAAAGCGCACGCAGGCGGUUUGUUAAGUCAGAUGUGAAAUCCCCGGGCUCAACUUGGGAACUGCAUCUGAUACUGGCAAGCUUGAGUAUGGUAGAGGGGGGUAGAAUUCCAGGUGUAGCGGUGAAAUGCGUAGAGAUCUGGAGGAAUACCGGUGGCGAAGGCGGCCCCCUGGACGAAGACUGACGCUCAGGUGCGAAAGCGUGGGGAGCAAACAGG